UACGUAGGGGGCAGGCGUUGUCCGGAAUUACUGGGCGUAAAGCGUGCGCAGGCGGUUUUGUAAGCCAGGUGUGAAAUCCCCGGGCUCAACCUGGGAAUGGCAUUUGGGACUGCAAGGCUGGAGUGCGGCAGAGGAGACUGGAAUUCCUGGUGUAGCAGUGAAAUGCGUAGAUAUCAGGAGGAACACCGAUGGCGAAGGCAGGUCUCUGGGCUGACACUGACGCUCAUGCACGAAAGCGUGGGGAGCAAACAGG
This 253-nucleotide ribosomal RNA is filed under the name uncultured bacterium. RNAcentral describes it as "partial 16S ribosomal RNA". It matches the Rfam family "Bacterial small subunit ribosomal RNA", at positions 524 to 776 of the family's 1533-position model. The record is from RNAcentral.